Ipomoea nil (Japanese morning glory) is the source of this 513-nucleotide long non-coding RNA. RefSeq lists it as uncharacterized. The transcript is spliced from 3 exons. The record is from RefSeq and is a predicted model, not a curated record. NCBI's taxonomy places the organism in Eukaryota, Viridiplantae, Streptophyta, Magnoliopsida, Solanales, Convolvulaceae.
UAGCGCUUCUCCUUGAUCGACGAUGUAAUGGGCAUUGGCCUUCACUUCGAAUUGGGGAAAGUAUCUUCUUAGCUUCUAGAUCUAUCAAGCAUUCAGGCAUGCUAUCUACGAUAGAGAAUCCAGAAAACAGGAUUGAUUAGCGAAAAUGACAGGGAUACAAUUCUACAAGGUCUAGAUGAGAUAGAAAGGCAGAUUGAAGCAUGCAAGUUCUUGUGGAGGACUGACAGAGAGGAUGUGCACAUGAACAUUGAAGCAGCUCUUACUGAUUUAGUGGGUGAAUCUGCAAAGCAGCUCUUCUUACACAUUAUCCUACAAUUAGUUUGGAUAUGCUGUCACGUGUUCAUUCUCGGAGCUCUAUGUACAACAAUGAUGCCUUGAUUGCUAAGAGGUGCCAUUUAUAUAUGCUAAUAUAUCUAUUCUGAAUCUUAGCUACUUUAACACUUCAUAUACAGUUUUAUGCAUGACAAAUUAUUGACUUUAAGAUAUGCUUUAGGCACUGCUUUUAUCAGAUUG